This 426-nucleotide ribosomal RNA is filed under the name uncultured prokaryote. RNAcentral's name for it is "bacterial SSU rRNA". It matches the Rfam family "Bacterial small subunit ribosomal RNA", at positions 355 to 796 of the family's 1533-position model. The record is from RNAcentral.
UGGGGAAUCUUGCGCAAUGCGCGACAGCCUGACGGAGCAAUACCGCGUGAGGGAGGAAGGCUUUUGGGUUGUAAACCUCUUUUCUCAAGGAAGAAGCACUGACGGUACUUGAGGAAUCAGCAUCGGCUAACUCCGUGCCAGCGGCCCCGGUAAUACGGAGGAUGCAAGCGUUAUUCGGAAUUAUUGGGCGUAAAGCGUCCGCAGGUGGUGCCUCAAGUCUGCUGUCAAAGACCGAAGCUCAACUUCGGGCAGGCAGUGGAAACUGAAGCACUAGAGUACGGUAGGGGUAGAGGGAAUUUCCAGUGUAGCGGUGAAAUGCGUAGAGAUUGGAAAGAACACCAGUGGCGAAGGCGCUCUACUGGACCGUAACUGACACUCAGGGACGAAAGCUAGGGGAGCGAAAGGGAUUAGAUACCCCCGUAGUCC